RNAcentral lists this ribosomal RNA (430 nucleotides) under Pseudomonas sp. RNAcentral describes it as "bacterial SSU rRNA". It matches the Rfam family "Bacterial small subunit ribosomal RNA", at positions 124 to 549 of the family's 1533-position model. The record is from RNAcentral. Lineage: Bacteria; Pseudomonadati; Pseudomonadota; Gammaproteobacteria; Pseudomonadales; Pseudomonadaceae.
AUCUGCCUGGUAGUGGGGGAUAACGUUCGGAAACGGACGCUAAUACCGCAUACGUCCUACGGGAGAAAGCAGGGGACCUUCGGGCCUUGCGCUAUCAGAUGAGCCUAGGUCGGAUUAGCUAGUUGGUGGGGUAAUGGCUCACCAAGGCGACGAUCCGUAACUGGUCUGAGAGGAUGAUCAGUCACACUGGAACUGAGACACGGUCCAGACUCCUACGGGAGGCAGCAGUGGGGAAUAUUGGACAAUGGGCGAAAGCCUGAUCCAGCCAUGCCGCGUGUGUGAAGAAGGUCUUCGGAUUGUAAAGCACUUUAAGUUGGGAGGAAGGGCAGUAAAUUAAUACUUUGCUGUUUUGACGUUACCGACAGAAUAAGCACCGGCUAACUCUGUGCCAGCAGCCGCGGUAAUACAGAGGGUGCAAGCGUUAAUCGGA